This 682-nucleotide long non-coding RNA is filed under the name Fukomys damarensis (Damara mole-rat). RNAcentral's name for it is "lncRNA (ENSFDAG00000023363.1)". The record is from RNAcentral. Lineage: Eukaryota; Metazoa; Chordata; Mammalia; Rodentia; Bathyergidae.
GGGUCUAGAUCCACCUAGUGCCCCUGCCUCACCUCUGGCACCCCAUUAUGGUAGUUGGCUUGACUUGCUGAUGGCUGUCUUUGGUCCCAUUCUAUUGGUGACUGAUUCACUAGUGCCCAUGUUGGCUGGCAGGAGAAUGCUUGGGGAGUACAAGCAAGAAGACAGAGACCCUAGGGAGACACAAGGUGAAGUCCAGGCCCCAUGUAUAAGUGUGAGAGGGUAGGAACCUGCUCACUAUGCCUGCUCCUCCCCAGGUCUGGUCGCUACCACCAGCCCACUGCCCCAGAGCAGGGACGAGAACAGCAACGACUACCCUGAGAUGGAGGAGGAUGGCAGCCUGUGGCCCACACUGUGCACCUUCGUGGCACUCUUCCUCCUCACACUGCUUUACAGUGGCUUUGUCACCUUCAUCAAGGUGAAAUAGCCCAGCCACAGCUGACAUCAUGAAGCCACAAGAAGGGAUGCUCAGUCUUGAAUCCCAUCUCAGACACUGCCUCACACAGAGACAAGGCGUUCCAAGGCUCCCCUCUGCCCACACAGGACCCCACCUACCCUGUACUGCCCAGAACCUCCCUCUGCUCUGUCAGAGCUUCAUCAAGCUGCAUUCCUGAUCUCCAUAAACACUUGGAUUCACUUUUCCUGCCUCCUGUUUCUUGGUCCAUGCCAUCCAAGUGACCUCAGA